GACGAACGCUGGCGGCGUGCUUAACACAUGCAAGUCGAACGGAAAGGCCUGCUUUCCCUUGUGGAUUGCGGGUACUCGAGUGGCGAACGGGUGAGUAACACGUGAGUGAUCUGCCCCCAACUUGGGUAUAAGCCUGGGAAACUGGGUCUAAUUCCCGAUAGGACUGCAGGGUGGUGCCUGUGGUGGAAAACGAUUUUCUAGUGGUUGGGGAUGAGCUCGCGGCCUAUCAGCUUGUUGGUGGGGUAAUGGCCUACCAAGGCGGCGACGGGUAGCCGGCCUGAGAGGGUGGACGGCCACAUUGGGACUGAGAUACGGCCCAGACGCCUACGGGAGGCAGCAGUGGGGAAUAGUGCACAAUGGGCGGAAGCCUGAUGCAGCGACGCCGCGUGGGGGAUGACGGCCUUCGGGUUGUAAACUCCUUUCGACCGCGAGGAAGCCACCUGGUUGGAAGGGUGGUGACGGUAGUGGUAGAAGAAGCACCGGCUAACUACGUG
Molecule: ribosomal RNA, 494 nt
Filed under: uncultured bacterium
Lineage: Bacteria
Description: partial 16S ribosomal RNA
Rfam family: Bacterial small subunit ribosomal RNA
Source: RNAcentral